ACUCUCCCCUGCCAUUGCUCUCUGCAUAGGCGAGUGUCUCCCUCAAACGCCUGAGGAUCUUUUCUCCCAUGAGGAGCUGGAACCUGACAGCAUCGAGCGACGGCCUGUCAAAGAUGGCGGGGGCACGAACAGCAUCACCGUGAGGAAUGCCACAUUCACCUGGGCCAGGGGCGACCCUCCCACGCUGAAUGGACGCGGAUCUUGGUCAUGCACAGCAUGAGCUACUUGCCACAGGUGGAUGUCAUCAUUGUCAUGAGUGGCGGCAAGAUCUCUGAGAUGGGCUCCUACCAGGAGCUGCUGGCCCAAGACGGCGCCUUCGCUGAGUUCCUGCGUACCUAUGCCAGCACAGAGCAGGAGCAGGACCCAGAGGAGAACGGUAGGGGCAGCCCCAGGGUUCCUCCCGCUCGGGGUGUCUGGCGCCUUGAAGGGCCACAUUGGCCUCUUUGAGGUUGCCACCAGCCACUCGGGGAAGGCGG
Long non-coding RNA from Nomascus leucogenys (northern white-cheeked gibbon), 476 nucleotides. RefSeq lists it as uncharacterized. Lineage: Eukaryota; Metazoa; Chordata; Mammalia; Primates; Hylobatidae. The transcript is spliced from 3 exons. The record is from RefSeq and is a predicted model, not a curated record.